This 465-nucleotide ribosomal RNA is filed under the name uncultured bacterium. RNAcentral describes it as "partial 16S ribosomal RNA". It matches the Rfam family "Bacterial small subunit ribosomal RNA", at positions 28 to 507 of the family's 1533-position model. The record is from RNAcentral.
GACGAACGCUGGCGGCGUGCUUAACACAUGCAAGUCGAACGGAAAGGCCCCUUUGGGGGUACUCGAGUGGCGAACGGGUGAGUAACACGUGAGUAACCUGCCCUUGACUUCGGGAUAACUUCAGUAAACUGGGGCUAAUACCGGAUAGGAAUCCUUUCUGCAUGGUGGGGGUUGUAAAGCUUCGGCGGUUUUGUAUGUACUCGCGGCUUAUCAGCUUGUUGGUGGGGUAGUUGCUUACCAAGGCUUUGACGGGUAGCCGGCCUGAGAGGGCGACCGGCCACAUUGGGACUGAGAGACGGCCCAGACUCCUACGGGAGGAAGAAGGGGGGAAUAUUGAAAAAUGGGCGGAAGCCUGAUGCAGAAACGCCGCGUGCGGGAUGACGGCCUUCGGGUUGUAAACCGCUUUCAGAAGGGGAGAAGCUUGUGGUGACGGUACCUGCAGAAGAAGCACCGGCUAACUACGUG